GGCGCUGUGGCGGAGUGGUUAACGCGUAUGUGCCGUCCAAAACUUGCAAAUAGUUUGUAACUAACACUUAUCCAGGAUGCCCUGCUAAGAUCAUUGAUCAAGCAGUUUCAGGCAUUUCCUUCGGGGUAUGUGGUGUCACUCUGCAUUGUGUUUCGUCACUAACAAAAUUAUAGAGCGUAAGUCUUCACUGUCCAAACGUACCCGGUCAUUGUUAAUAGUAAACAGAAGAGUUCGAAUCUCUUCGGCGUCG
Hyaloscypha bicolor E is the source of this 250-nucleotide non-coding RNA. The record is from the annotation of a RefSeq genome assembly. NCBI's taxonomy places the organism in Eukaryota, Fungi, Ascomycota, Leotiomycetes, Helotiales, Hyaloscyphaceae.